AUCCCGAAUUUAGAAGAGCUACUUAUAUUGUUGUAAUAAACACUUAUAAUAAGAAAUGAAACGUUAAUAUAUCUGGUUUUUUAAGAAAAUUUAAUUUGUUGAUACCCUGAGGGAUGAGCUUUAGGUAGAAUUAGAAGUUUUGUUAUAUUCGUUCUAUUAAAAUUUGUAUAUUAAUUUUUUUGGUAAUAAUGAUUAUAUUAGUAAAAGAUUAGUUAAAGGAAUUCGGCAAGCAUCUUUCACCUGUUUAUUAAAAACAUGGCCUGUUGCUUAUAAUUUCAGGUCUCGCCUGCCCACUGAGGCCGCGGUAUAUUGACCGUGCAAAGGUAGCAUAAUAAUUAGUUUCUUAAUUGGAAGCUUGUAUGAACGGUAGAAUGAGAAGAUCACUGUCUCUGAUUAAUUGAAUUUUAUCUUUGAGUUAAAAAGCUCAAAUUUAAUUAAAAGACGAGAAGACCCUAUAGAAUUUUAUUUUGGUUGGGGCGAUCGAAAAAUUAGGUUAACUUUUGAUUAUAAGAUAAAAUUACCUUAGGGAUAACAGCGUAAUCUUCUUUAGAGUUCUAAUCGAUAGGAGGGGUUGCGACCUCGAUGUUGGAUUAAAAUUAAAUCUGGUGCAGAAGCU
Molecule: ribosomal RNA, 616 nt
Filed under: Pseudaeolesthes chrysothrix
Lineage: Eukaryota; Metazoa; Arthropoda; Insecta; Coleoptera; Cerambycidae
Description: partial large subunit ribosomal RNA
Rfam family: Archaeal large subunit ribosomal RNA
Source: RNAcentral